GGAGAAGUGGCGGAAUUGGUAGACGCGCUACUUUGAGGGGGUAGUGACCGUUGGGUCGUGUGAGUUCGAGUCUCAUCUUCUUCACCA
RNAcentral lists this transfer RNA (87 nucleotides) under Bacteroidaceae bacterium. RNAcentral's name for it is "tRNA-Leu". It matches the Rfam family "tRNA". Rfam says of the family: Transfer RNA (tRNA) molecules are approximately 80 nucleotides in length. Their secondary structure includes four short double-helical elements and three loops (D, anti-codon, and T loops). Lineage: Bacteria; Pseudomonadati; Bacteroidota; Bacteroidia; Bacteroidales; Bacteroidaceae. The record is from RNAcentral.